This 3442-nucleotide ribosomal RNA is filed under the name Bacillus cereus. RNAcentral describes it as "23S ribosomal RNA". It matches the Rfam family "Bacterial large subunit ribosomal RNA". The record is from RNAcentral. Lineage: Bacteria; Bacillati; Bacillota; Bacilli; Caryophanales; Bacillaceae.
GUUAAGUAUAUAAAGAAACUAUUAUGGAUAAAUAGCUAUAUAUCAUUAGGAAAUAUUAAACACGCUACCAUGUGUAACAACGUUGUGUAAAUACAACGUUGGAUAACUUGGACGUGUAAUCCAGGUAAAAACCAAUAUUUAAACGAAGUGAACUGAAAUAUCUUAUUAGCUUCAGGAAAAUAAAUCAAAUGAGAUUGUUUUAUCAAAAUAAUAUGAUAAAAUAUGAGUCUUUAAAGUAAAAUGGAUAUAAUCUGUUUGAAUAUAGGGAAACCUUUCUCUAAGACUAAAUAUGAUAUAUUACGCGACAGUUUAGUAGUACCGUAAGGGAAUUGUUUGAAAUAGUAGUUUUAUAAGCAGCUCAAGUUUAGUUUAAAAAAUAAAUUAGAGCGUACCUUUUGCAUAAUGGGUCAGCAAGUUAAUAUUAGAUGCGAGAUGAAUAAUCCCAGAUAAACCAAUUAUUAAAUAAUGAACAAGUAUCUAGUAUUAGACCCGAAGCCUAGUGAUCUUACCAUGAUCAGGGUUAUAAAAGCUCGAACAGGUUAUCGUUGUAAAGAUAUCUGAUGAAUUGUGGUAAGUUAGUGAAAGACAAAACUGACUAGGAUAGCUGGUUUUCCGCGAAACCUAUAUAAGUAGGUAGUUUAAAAUUUUUACUUGAAAAAGUAAUAACAUCAUUGCAGGUACAGAAUUGUGAUCUCAGACAAAUUUAGAUUAUCGCAUUUUUUAUAAAAAGCGUAAUCUGUUUGUAUACAUUGGGGGAUCGUGAAGAUUUUAUCAGUGAGGAUUUGCUCUCGGAAGGGCAAUGAUGAAUAUUAAAUUGUCGGACAUAGUACGAUAAGGUUGUAUGUCUAAAGGGAAACAGCCCAGAACAAGAGUUAAAGGUUCCAAAAUUAUUGUUAAGUGAAAUUAAGGGAGUUUUUUUCAAAUACAACCAGGAAAUAGGCUUAGAAGCGGCCAUUUUUUAAAGAUCUCGUAACAGAGCACUGUUUUAUUUUAAUAUAAAGUUAAACGCACCGAAAAUUUAACGGAUCUAAACAAUAUACCGAAACCUUGUACGUAAAUAAAAAUUAGGUUUAUUUACGGGGUAGCGGAACGUUGGGUUAACUUUUAGAAUUUAUAUCAUUGAUAUGAAUUAAGUUUAGACAUAAACAAGAUAAUCCCAAGUGAUAAUGCUGACAUGAGUAACGAAAAAGGGUAAACCCCUCGCCUUAAGCUUAUGGUAUUUUUCUUAAAGUAACGGCCCCUAAGUUUAUUGAUCUGACCUAAAGGAUUAAAUGAUGGGAAAAUCUUUAUAUAUACCUAAACAUUUAGGUAUUAAUAUUUUCUUAAAUAAGUAUAAUGUUAUAAAGGUUUAAGAAAAUAAUAAUACAAAGUAGUGAAUGUUCUGGAAAAAGUAUGUAAUAAUAUAACCGUACCUAAAUACUACCACAAGUAAGCAAGUAGAGUAUACAAAGGCGUUUGAGAUAACAAUCAUUAAGGAACUCGGCAAAAUGACACCGUAACUUCGGGAUAAGGUGUGCCAUUAUUCAUUUUUUUUUUAAUCAUUUUUAUAUUAUUAGAAAAACAAAAAAAAGCUUUUUUAAUAAGAAAAAAGUGAUUAAAGAAAAAAUACAGCGAUAAGAGGAGACAUAAAAUGGUGUUGUACGACUGUUUAAUUAAAACAAAGCACUUUGCAUAAGAUUUUAAAUCAAAGUAUUGAGUGUGAUUUCUGCCCGAUGUUGGCUGGUUAACGGAUUUUCUUAGUAAAAUAAAAAAGCUAGGUUUUGAAGGAACCCCCAAUCAAUGGCGGCCUUACCGAUGAGGGUCCUAAGGUAGCGGAAUACCUUGGCCGUUAAAUGCGGUCUUUGCAUGAAUGAUUUAACGAUACAACAGCUGUCUCAAUGAUUGUCUCAGUGAAAUUGGAAUAACUGUGCAGAUACAGUUUUCUUCUAGUUAGACGAGAAGACCCUAUGCAGCUUUACUGUUGCUAGUAAUUGAAUAUAAUAAAACAAGUUGUAGUAUAUAAGGUUAUUGAUAAGAUAAUAGUGAAAUACCUUUACUUAGUUUAUUAUAUUAUUGGGGGUUAUAAUAUGUGUUUAAAGUCAAGAGUUAAAGCGUUUGCAGCAACCGUUACAUUGAAGUUAAUAAUGGUGUUAAUGGAUAUGUAGCCUAUAUUAUAAGUAGAGGAGCCGAUAAGUAGCUUAUCUUACGAGGCUGUAUAAUAUAGAUGGUAUAGUAUACAUAGUAUACUUACAAACUUUUUACUUAUUAUAAUUACCCAAACGCUUAUCCAAAAGAAAAAUAAUGGUGUAUUUCCCCUUAUUACCUAAUAAGAGAGACACAAGCACACAUUAAGGAGAAAUUUGCUAGUGGACAGUUUAUGCGGGGCACAGAUCCCACAAAAAGUACCUGGGUGUAUCCAAAGUUAAAACUGUAAAUUUAUCAAGUUUAAUUGGUAAUUUUGUACUAAUAUUAUGCUCGUAACAUGUUUAUCGUAAUUAGUAUUAGUACAUUACGUUUAUUUACUUUGUAAUGGAUUAUUUUUAAUUUAUUCACUUAUAAUUCUAUUAAGUUAGAUUAAUUUUAUUUUUUUAAGUAAGGUUUUAACUAUAUGGAAAAUAGAUGUUAAUAAACCGUUAAUUUGUACAGGUUUUAUUUGUUUUUUUGUAUAAAUUUAUAAUUUUUUGUGGUAAUAAUACCAAAUAUUACACUUUUUGUAUAAAUUAAAAAUGAUAUUACGAAACUUUUUCAUAAAAAUUUACAAUAAAAAUGAUUUUUAAAAUAACUAUUAAAGUUUAAUGGCUUAACCUUGCUUUACUGUUUGACUUACAUGUCUAUCAGUCGCGUAAGCGGGGCAUACGAUCACAAGAUGCAGAAAGGAAAGGUCUUGGAUUUUUGAAAAAGCUACGCUAGGGAUAACAGGCUAAUUGCGCCAGAGAGUACAAAUUGAGUGCGCAGUUUGGCACCUCGAUGUCGGCUUAGCUCAUCCACAUGAAUGCAGGAAUCAUGAAGGGUACGACUGUUCGUCGGUUAAAGAGCUACACGAGCUGGGUUAAAUACGUCGUGAGACAGUAUGGUUUCUAUCUUCUAGAAGUAAUUAGAGUAAAACAAGAAUAGCCCCUUCGUACGAAAGGAGUUGGGUAUGUUAACCUCUGGUUUAUUUGUUGUCUUAUGGUAAUUAAUAAUCCGUAUAAUACGCCAAAAGGCGGGGAUGGAGUUUGUUAAAAGCUCCUACCCACGGUUACUUUAAAUAUUACUUAAUUUAGAGAAAAACAGGCACAGCAAUAAAGCUACGUUAGUUAUAAAUAAGUGCUGAAUGCAUAUAGGCACGAAGUUUAUCUUCGUAUACUCUUAAAUAUACGUAAUACAACAUUACGAAUUGUGUAAUAACAAUUGUAUAGGCUUUGGUUUAAAUAAUUUUGAUAUUUUCAGACACAAAGUACUAAUUAUAUUAAUAACUAAAUUU